CCCUUAGAUGUUCUGGGCCGCACGCGCGCUACACUGAUGCGUUCAACGAGUAUACAACCUUGAUCGAUAGGUCUGGGUAAUCUUUUGAAUGCGCAUCGUGCUAGGGAUAGACUGUUGCAAUUUUCAGUCUUGAACGAGGAAUUCCUAGUAAACGCAAGUCAUCAGCUUGCAUUGAUUACGUCCCUGCCCUUUGUACACACCGCCCGUCGCACCUACCGAUUGAAUGGUCCGGUGAAGCCUCCGGAUUGGCGCGCACCUCGGUGCCGCCGAGAAGUUGGCUAAACCUUACCAUUUAGAGGAAGGUGAAGUCGUAACA
Molecule: ribosomal RNA, 316 nt
Filed under: uncultured eukaryote
Lineage: Eukaryota
Description: partial 18S ribosomal RNA
Rfam family: Eukaryotic small subunit ribosomal RNA
Source: RNAcentral